AAGCCGUCGUGGUGGCUACAGCCAAACAGCAAGCCCAGAGGAGCAACAGGUAGGGACAAAGACACAAACAGAGGUAGCUAUAAAAGCAACAUCCACUGAAUGAGGCCAACAAACACCAAGGCAGCAGGAAAAUGAUUACCAAGAAGAAUGAGGUGCCAUUUCAUCAGAAGGAAGGAGAAAGGAUUGGGGUGUCAGCACCCUAGUAACUGUACUGGGUGGGUAUUAAGAUGCAAAGGCCAGAGCAUGAUCAAUAGUCUCAUUAGCUGUUUACAAUGCUAAAGUCACCAGGAGAAAUAAAAGUUGAAUGUCUAUUUAUUUAAUGGCAUUUGUUAAGCUCCUCAUCAAAUGAUGUGCCCAGUAUUGUGCUAGAUUCUGAAUAUGAAACGGUGAGAGGAAAAAAAUGUGCUUCCUGUCCUCCUUGAGCUAACAGUGUUGGGUCUAAAUAUUGCUUAUAAACAGUACUGUUGGUUUUGUGGUAGUGGAGAACCCAAACACUUCUGUAGUUUUAAGACUUGUCCAAUUAUGUAAUGGGCCACAGAUCACACACAAGAGAAUACUCAGAGACCUGUAUGGCAGAUUUCACAUCCAACCUAAAGAUUCACUGGCUUAACUUUGAGUACAGUCACUUGAAUUACUUACUGUUACUUGAAUUAGUUACUUGAAUAGCUACUAAAUAGGAACUGGUUUAAAUAGUCAUGACCUUGUGUAAACUGAAAACAGAAAUUCAUUAAUACUCCCAAUCUAAUUGCAUUUGGAAAAUACUUGCAGAAUCAUGGAGUUGGAAAGUCAUUAUCUACUCAAAGAGACAAUCCAGUCUCCUGCUUCUCUGUUUAUUUAUUCAUUCAUGUUGCAAAUCCUGAGUGAGUGCCUACUGCAUACCGGCAAUAUUAGGUUCUCCUUAAAUUCUGUUUGCGGCUGGAAGUGAUCCUAGACACCUCUGGCUCAGCUUCCCAACUCAUGCAGGAGAGGAACCUGAAGCUUAGAUAGAUUAUGGAACUCGCUCGAGAUCAUACAAGAAGUGGCAAUGCUGGGAUUUGAGCCCACGAUUGACAAAGCUUUUAUUCUUUGCAUUCUACCAUGCUGCCUCCAAAUAGGUCAAAUGACUAGAAAAAGAGAUUUAGGUUCAUAAUUGUCACUAUGCAUUUUUCCUACUAUGGGAACAAUUAUGAACAAUUCCAUAUGUGUCCAAUUUUAUAACAAUAAAGCGCAAAAGAACAUCUGUAUCUUUCUGUUGUAGGGUAGCAGCCUUGAAAUUUGUAUCUUGGUUUAUUGUAUUAGAUAUUUCUUGAAAUAAGCAGACCUUAAUUGAAAAGUGGAAAAUGUUUAUCAUAUCUAAUAUGAAUAUUUUUAAAUAAAUAAUUUUACUUAAGGAAUUUCCUAGAACCUG
RNAcentral lists this long non-coding RNA (1387 nucleotides) under Homo sapiens (human). Its description in RNAcentral is "HSALNT0337543". The record is from RNAcentral. Lineage: Eukaryota; Metazoa; Chordata; Mammalia; Primates; Hominidae.